GGUUAAGUGACUAAGCGUACACGGUGGAUGCCUUGGCAGUCAGAGGCGAUGAAAGACGUAGUAACUUGCGAUAAGCCCAGAUUAGGUAGUAACAACCAUUUGAGUCUGGGAUUUCUGAAUGGGGAAACCCACUUACAUAAGUAAGUAUCAUUAACUGAAUACAUAGGUUAAUGAGGCGAACCGGGGGAACUGAAACAUCUAAGUACCCCGAGGAAAAGAAAUCAACCGAGAUUCCGAAAGUAGCGGCGAGCGAAAUUGGACUAGCCCUUAAGCUUUACACGCGUUAGACGAACGGUCUGGAAAGUCCGACGAUACAGGGUGAUAGUCCCGUAGUUGACGACGUGUGUUCAGUGAAAUCGAGUAGGGCGGGACACGUGAUAUCCUGUCUGAAUAUGGGGGGACCAUCCUCCAAGGCUAAAUACUACUGACUGACCGAUAGUGAACCAGUACCGUGAGGGAAAGGCGAAAAGAACCCCUGUGAGGGGAGUGAAAUAGAACCUGAAACCGUGUACGUACAAGCAGUAGGAGCAGGCUUGUCCUGUGACUGCGUACCUUUUGUAUAAUGGGUCAGCGACUUAUAUUCAGUGGCAAGGUUAACCAUCUAGGGGAGCCGUAGGGAAACCGAGUCUUAACUGGGCGUUCAGUCUCUGGAUAUAGACCCGAAACCAGGUGAUCUAGCCAUGGGCAGGUUGAAGGUUGAGUAACAUCAACUGGAGGACCGAACCGACUAAUGUUGAAAAAUUAGCGGAUGACUUGUGGCUAGGGGUGAAAGGCCAAUCAAACCUGGAGAUAGCUGGUUCUCCCCGAAAGCUAUUUAGGUAGCGCCUCGGACGAAUACUACUGGGGGUAGAGCACUGUUAAGGCUAGGGGGUCAUCCCGACUUACCAACCCUUUGCAAACUCCGAAUACCAGUAAGUACUAUCCGGGAGACACACGGCGGGUGCUAACGUCCGUCGUGGAGAGGGAAACAACCCAGACCGCCAGCUAAGGUCCCAAAUUACUACUAAGUGGGAAACGAUGUGGGAAGGCUCAGACAGCCAGGAUGUUGGCUUAGAAGCAGCCAUCAUUUAAAGAAAGCGUAAUAGCUCACUGGUCGAGUCGGCCUGCGCGGAAGAUGUAACGGGGCUAAGUAGUAAACCGAAGCUGCGGCAAUGUGCUUUUGCACAUUGGGUAGGGGAGCGUUCUGUAAGCGGUUGAAGGUGUGUGGUAACGCAUGCUGGACGUAUCAGAAGUGCGAAUGCUGACAUGAGUAACGAUAAAGGGGUGAAAAACCUCCUCGCCGGAAGACCAAGGGUUCCUGUCCAACGUUAAUCGGGGCAGGGUAAGUCGACCCCUAAGGCGAGGCCGAAAGGCGUAGUCGAUGGGAAACGGGUUAAUAUUCCCGUACUUCUUACAAUUGCGAUGGGGGGACGGAGAAGGCUAGGUGGGCCUGGCGACGGUUGUCCAGGUUCAAGUGCGUAGGCUUAAGAGUUAGGUAAAUCCGGCUCUUUUUAAGGCUGAGACACGACGUCGAGCACCUACGGGUGUGAAGUCAUUGAUGCCAUGCUUCCAGGAAAAGCCUCUAAGCUUCAGAUUGUAAGGAAUCGUACCCCAAACCGACACAGGUGGUCGGGUAGAGAAUACCAAGGCGCUUGAGAGAACUCGGGUGAAGGAACUAGGCAAAAUGGUACCGUAACUUCGGGAGAAGGUACGCUCUUGAUGGUGAAGUCCCUCGCGGAUGGAGCUGACGAGAGUCGCAGAUACCAGGUGGCUGCAACUGUUUAUUAAAAACACAGCACUGUGCAAAAUCGUAAGAUGACGUAUACGGUGUGACGCCUGCCCGGUGCCGGAAGGUUAAUUGAUGGGGUUAGACUUCGGUCGAAGCUCUUGAUCGAAGCCCCGGUAAACGGCGGCCGUAACUAUAACGGUCCUAAGGUAGCGAAAUUCCUUGUCGGGUAAGUUCCGACCUGCACGAAUGGCGUAAUGAUGGCCACGCUGUCUCCACCCGAGACUCAGUGAAAUUGAAAUCGCUGUGAAGAUGCAGUGUACCCGCGGCUAGACGGAAAGACCCCGUGAACCUUUACUACAGCUUGGCACUGAACAUUGACCCUACAUGUGUAGGAUAGGUGGGAGGCUUUGAAGCAGGUACGCCAGUAUCUGUGGAGCCGUCCUUGAAAUACCACCCUUGUAGUGUUGAUGUUCUAACGUCGACCCCUUAUCGGGGUUGCGGACAGUGCCUGGUGGGUAGUUUGACUGGGGCGGUCUCCUCCCAAAGAGUAACGGAGGAGCACGAAGGUGGGCUAAUCACGGUUGGACAUCGUGAGGUUAGUGCAAUGGCAUAAGCCCGCUUGACUGCGAGAAUGACAAUUCGAGCAGGUGCGAAAGCAGGUCAUAGUGAUCCGGUGGUUCUGAAUGGAAGGGCCAUCGCUCAACGGAUAAAAGGUACUCCGGGGAUAACAGGCUGAUACCGCCCAAGAGUUCAUAUCGACGGCGGUGUUUGGCACCUCGAUGUCGGCUCAUCACAUCCUGGGGCUGAAGUCGGUCCCAAGGGUAUGGCUGUUCGCCAUUUAAAGUGGUACGCGAGCUGGGUUUAGAACGUCGUGAGACAGUUCGGUCCCUAUCUGCCGUGGGCGUUGGAAGAUUGAAGGGGGCUGCUCCUAGUACGAGAGGACCGGAGUGGACGAACCUCUGGUGUUCGGGUUGUGUCGCCAGACGCAUUGCCCGGUAGCUAAGUUCGGAAUCGAUAACCGCUGAAAGCAUCUAAGCGGGAAGCGAGCCCUGAGAUGAGUCUUCCCUGAUACUUUAAGUAUCCUAAAGGGUUGUCGGAGACUACGACGUUGAUAGGUCAGGUGUGUAAGUGCUGUGAGGCAUUGAGCUAACUGAUACUAAUUGCCCGUGAGGCUUAACCAU
RNAcentral lists this ribosomal RNA (2889 nucleotides) under Vibrio parahaemolyticus. RNAcentral describes it as "23S ribosomal RNA". It matches the Rfam family "Bacterial large subunit ribosomal RNA". Lineage: Bacteria; Pseudomonadati; Pseudomonadota; Gammaproteobacteria; Vibrionales; Vibrionaceae. The record is from RNAcentral.